This 919-nucleotide ribosomal RNA is filed under the name uncultured archaeon. Its description in RNAcentral is "bacterial SSU rRNA". It matches the Rfam family "Archaeal small subunit ribosomal RNA", at positions 1 to 923 of the family's 1478-position model. The record is from RNAcentral.
CCCGGGGUUUGAUCCUGCCGGAGGCUACUGCUAUCGGGGUCCGACUAAGCCAUGCGAGUUGAGAGGGGUAAGCCCUCGGCAUAUUGCUCAGUAACACGCGGAUAACCUGCCCUUGGGUUCGGGAUAACCCCGGGAAACUGGGACUAAUACCGGAUAGACCAAAGAUACUGGAAUGUUCUCUGGUCCAAAACUCCGGUGCCCAAGGAUGGGUCUGCGGCCUAUCAGGUAGUAGUGGGUGUAACGUACCUACUAGCCUACGACGGGUAAGGGUUGUGAGAGCAAGAGCCCUGAGAUGGAUUCUGAGACAUGAAUCCAGGCCCUACGGGGUGCAGCAGGCGCGAAAACUUUACACUGCGGGAAACCGCGAUAAGGGGACCCCGAGUGCCAGUACCUAGUACUGGCUGUCCCGCUGUCCAAACAACAGUGGUUAGCAAGGGCCGGGCAAGACCGGUGCCAGCCGCCGCGGUAACACCGGCGGCCCGAGUGGUAGCCGUUAUUAUUGGGUUUAAAGGGUCCGUAGCCGGCCUAUUAAGUCUCUUGGGAAAUCUGGCGACUUAAUCGUCAGGCGUCCAAGAGAUACUGAUAGGCUUGGGACCGGGAGAGGUGGGAGGUACUCCAGGGGUAGGGGUGAAAUCUCGUAAUCCUUGGGGGACCACCGUUGGCGAAGGCAUCCCACCAGAACGGGUCCGACGGUGAGGGACGAAAGCUGGGGGCACGAACCGGAUUAGAUACCCGGGUAGUCCCAGCUGUAAACGAUGCUCGCUAGGUGUCAGGUGCGGUGCGACCGCAUCUGGUGCCGCAGUGAAAACUUGAAGCGAGUCACCUGGGAAGUACGGUCGCAAGGCUGAAACUUAAAGGAAUUGGCGGGGGAGCACUACAACGGGUGGAGCCUGCGGUUCAAUUGGAUUCAACGCCGGAA